Molecule: ribosomal RNA, 511 nt
Filed under: uncultured archaeon
Lineage: Archaea
Description: bacterial SSU rRNA
Rfam family: Archaeal small subunit ribosomal RNA
Source: RNAcentral
ACCGUGACAAGGGAACUCUGAGUGCCCGUUAAAUCGGGCUGUCCAUCGGUUUAAAUAACCGGUGAAGAAAGGGCCGGGCAAGACCGGUGCCAGCCGCCGCGGUAAUACCGGCGGCUCGAGUGGUGGCCACUAUUACUGGGCUUAAAGCGUUCGUAGCUGGUUUGUUAAGUCUCUGGGGAAAUCUUCCGGCUUAACCGGAAGGCGUCUCAGGGAUACUGGCAGACUAGGGACCGGGAGAGGUGAGAGGUACUCCAGGGGUAGGAGUGAAAUCCUGUAAUCCUUGGGGGACCACCUGUGGCGAAGGCGUCUCACCAGAACGGCUCCGACAGUGAGGGACGAAAGCUGGGGGAGCAAACCGGAUUAGAUACCCGGGUAGUCCCAGCUGUAAACGAUGCGCGUUAGGUGUAUCGGUGACCACGAGUCACCGAGGUGCCGAAGAGAAAUCGUGAAACGUGCCGCCUGGGAAGUACGGUCGCAAGGCUGAAACUUAAAGGAAUUGGCGGGGGAGCAC